GGUGAACGCUAGCUACAGGCUUAACACAUGCAAGUCGAGGGGAAACGGCAUCGAAAGCUUGCUUUUGAUGGGCGUCGACCGGCGCACGGGUGAGUAACGCGUAUCCAACCUGCCCACCACUUGGGGAUAACCUUGCGAAAGUAAGACUAAUACCCAAUGACGUCUCUAGAAGACAUCUGACAGAGAUCAAAGAUUUAUCGGUGAUGGAUGGGGAUGCGUCUGAUUAGCUUGUGGGCAGGGUAACGGCCCACCAAGGCGACGAUCAGUAGGGGUUCUGAGAGUAAGGUCCACCACAUUGGAACUGAGACACGGACCAAUCUCCGACGGGAGGCAGCAGUGAGGAAUAUUGGGCAAUGGACGAGAGUCUGAACCAGCCAAGUAGCGUGCAGGAGGACGGCCCUAGGGGAUGUAAACUGCUUUUAUAAGGGAAUAAAGUGAGUCUCGGUAGACUUUUUGCAUGUACCUUAUGAAUAAGGACCGGCUAAUUCCGUG
Molecule: ribosomal RNA, 492 nt
Filed under: uncultured bacterium
Lineage: Bacteria
Description: partial 16S ribosomal RNA
Rfam family: Bacterial small subunit ribosomal RNA
Source: RNAcentral